Molecule: ribosomal RNA, 253 nt
Filed under: uncultured bacterium
Lineage: Bacteria
Description: partial 16S ribosomal RNA
Rfam family: Bacterial small subunit ribosomal RNA
Source: RNAcentral
UACGUAGGGUGCGAGCGUUGUCCGGAAUUAUUGGGCGUAAAGAGCUCGUAGGCGGUGUGUCGCGUCGGCCGUGAAAACCCGAGGCUCAACCUCGGGCCUGCAGUCGAUACGGGCAAACUAGAGUACUGCAGGGGAGACUGGAAUUCCUGGUGUAGCGGUGAAAUGCGCAGAUAUCAGGAGGAACACCGGUGGCGAAGGCGGGUCUCUGGGCAGUAACUGACGCUGAGGAGCGAAAGCGUGGGGAGCGAACAGG